Long non-coding RNA from Daucus carota subsp. sativus, 1531 nucleotides. RefSeq lists it as uncharacterized. NCBI's taxonomy places the organism in Eukaryota, Viridiplantae, Streptophyta, Magnoliopsida, Apiales, Apiaceae. The transcript is spliced from 6 exons. The record is from RefSeq and is a predicted model, not a curated record.
CUCUGUAUCAGUGACCUUUCAAGUCGACUUUGUCGCAAAGAAACUCUAUUUUGUUGCUGAUGGGUGUGAAGCAAAUAGUUGGCCAAUAUCUUCCUCAACAGAAACACCAUUUAUAUAUAUAUUCUUAAAUUGGAUAUGUAAGUUUACUAUAUUAACUGUGUGUAUUAGAUUCUGAGAUAAGUCCUAUUGUCAUACAUAUUUAUAUUAACAGUCUUCGUCUUAAACUUCUCAUUGCUUUCUUCUUCCAACCCUUAAUAAGUCAUCUGUAAUUUGUUCUCCUUGAUAGAACACUGAUGUUCAUCAAAGUGCCCCUUAAUCACGUAAGCAGACCUCUGUCGAUGAACAUAUAAAAGAAUGGCUAGAAGCCGGGAAGCUGCAAAGGAUAGUUCUUGUGCUAAUGAGCAAAGCUACUAAUGAGGUUUCGGAGAGACGGAACUUCAGUAUCCAGACUGAUCAAGAGGUUUUCUAAAAAGGGGUCUGAGACUACUCAGAUAUUGACACUAGACAAUGGCUAAUUAUUGAUUUGUUGGAGUUCUAUUUCCACACCAAGCAGUUGAGAAUUUGAGAUGCAUCCUUAUUCAAUAGAUGAGAUAAGGGGAUUGCUGUGUUGAGAUUUACCUACUUUAGAGCCUCUGUGUCUGAAAAGCCAUUAUCACAUGGAAACCUGUGAGCUUCUGGUAUCAUGUUUGAUUUGUUUACCUCUACUUUAACAACUUUGAGUUUUAAAAAUAUCCGUUUGCCAAAAUCGUUAAGUGAUUUAAACCUGCCUGCUUCAAGGAGUCCGUAUCAUGGACUACAAGAUUCCUAAAAGACCUUGGGAUUUCCCAACUUUAUUGAGUCUAGAACUUGGUGAGAAUAAAUAUCCCAAUACCCAGAGUUCCUGUAUCGGAUAUAUUGUGCAUUCAAAGGCAGACUACCAAUCAAACUCAAGACCAUUUGCUCAGCGUCAAAUUUUGACUUGAGUUAGUACUACGUCUCUGUUGAUGCCAUCUCCCGUCGAAAAGUCCGGUAAAAUCUAAAUGCAUAGUUGAUAUGGAUUUUGCAAACAGUAUGUGGAUUGGCAUGUGUGCUAGCUCUGAUUAUAUGUUUUGCAAUUAUUAUGCAUAAGUUCACGCGACAUCUGCCUGAGGAGCCUGGCUCACCUGGUGGCAUCUCACAUUCAGCCCGUCUUCAGACAUUCCUCUCUUUUGUUGAUGAGAAGAAAGUGGAUUUAAAAUCUAAAUCCAAGCGAAUAAAUAUGGAAUUGGCUUCUAAUGUAGUGGUAGAUGAAGUUACAUCAGUGAACAGAUCAAAUAGAAGUUGUAAAUUCAUGUCUACAAACAAGAGUAUAAAUACUCAGGGUGCCAGUGAAACCACCUGAAACUGUUACAAAGUUUCAUGCCAGCAAGUUACAAAGCAUGAUGUAUCAUAGUUCAUUCGGUGCUGCAAACUAAUAUUCAGUACUUAGCCAUGCUGAAUUGUUAGUUUGUUGCUGGCAGCUUUAGACAGGAAAAGAUAAUGAGAGAUAUUGGUUUAUAUGUAACCUACAGGC